RNAcentral lists this ribosomal RNA (253 nucleotides) under uncultured bacterium. Its description in RNAcentral is "partial 16S ribosomal RNA". It matches the Rfam family "Bacterial small subunit ribosomal RNA", at positions 524 to 776 of the family's 1533-position model. The record is from RNAcentral.
UACGUAGGGGGCUAGCGUUGUCCGGAAUCAUUGGGCGUAAAGGGCGCGUAGGCGGCCUGUUAAGUCGAACGUGAAAUCCCCGGGCUCAACCCGGGAACUGCGUCCGAUACUGGCAGGCUUGAAUCCGGGAGAGGGAUACGGAAUUCCAGGUGUAGCGGUGAAAUGCGUAGAUAUCUGGAGGAACACCGGUGGCGAAGGCGGCAUCCUGGACCGGUAUUGACGCUGAGGCGCGAAAGCCAGGGGAGCAAACGGG